UAAGGAAUAUUGGUCAAUGGACGCAAGUCUGAACCAGCCAUGCCGCGUGAAGGAUGAAGGUCCUCUGGAUUGUAAACUUCUUUUAUCUGGGACGAAAACGGGAUUUUUAUCUCAAUUGACGGUACCAGAGGAAUAAGCACCGGCUAACUCCGUGCCAGCAGCCGCGUUAAUACGGAGGGUGCGAGCGUUACCCGGAUUUACUGGGAUUAAAGGGUGCGUAGGUGGGCUUAUAAGUCAGUGGUGAAAUCUCCGAGCUUAACUUGGAAACUGCCGUUGAUACUAUAGGUCUUGAAUUAUCUGGAGGUAAGCGGAAUAUGUCAUGUAGCGGUGAAAUGCUUAGAUAUGACAUAGAACACCGAUGGCGAAGGCAGCUUACUACAUAUAAAUUGACGCUGAGGCACGAAAGCGUGGGGAUCAAACA
RNAcentral lists this ribosomal RNA (421 nucleotides) under uncultured bacterium. RNAcentral's name for it is "bacterial SSU rRNA". It matches the Rfam family "Bacterial small subunit ribosomal RNA", at positions 355 to 774 of the family's 1533-position model. The record is from RNAcentral.